CCCUUAGAUGUUCUGGGCCGCACGCGCGCUACACUGAAGGGAUCAGCGUGUUUUCCCUUUCCGAGAGGAACGGGUAACCCGCUGAACCCCCUUCGUGGUAGGGAUCGGAGCUUGCAAUUGUUCUCCAUGAACCAGGAAUUCCCAGUAAGCGCAAGUCAUAAGCUUGCGUUGAUUACGUCCCUGCCCUUUGUACACACCGCCCGUCGCUACUACCGAUUGAACGUUUUAGUGAGGUAUUUGGACUGGGCCUUGGGAGGUUUCGGCCUCCCUUGUUGCUCGGAAAGACUCCCAAACUUGAGCGUUUAGAGGAAGUAAAAGUCGUAACA
This 326-nucleotide ribosomal RNA is filed under the name uncultured eukaryote. RNAcentral's name for it is "partial 18S ribosomal RNA". It matches the Rfam family "Eukaryotic small subunit ribosomal RNA", at positions 1470 to 1796 of the family's 1831-position model. The record is from RNAcentral.